This 253-nucleotide ribosomal RNA is filed under the name uncultured bacterium. RNAcentral's name for it is "partial 16S ribosomal RNA". It matches the Rfam family "Bacterial small subunit ribosomal RNA", at positions 524 to 776 of the family's 1533-position model. The record is from RNAcentral.
UACGUAGGGGGCAAGCGUUAUCCGGAUUUACUGGGUGUAAAGGGAGCGUAGACGGCAGAGAAAGUCUGAAGUGAAAGCCCGCGGCUCAACCGCGGAACUGCUUUGGAAACUUUUCGGCUAGAGUACCGGAGAGGUAAGCGGAAUUCCUAGUGUAGCGGUGAAAUGCGUAGAUAUUAGGAGGAACACCAGUGGCGAAGGCGGCUUACUGGACGGUAACUGACGUUGAGGCUCGAAAGCGUGGGGAGCAAACAGG